UAGGGAAUAUUGGGCAAUGGGCGAGAGCCUGACCCAGCCAUGCCGCGUGCAGGAAGAAGGCCCUCUGGGUUGUAAACUGCUUUUAUCGGGGAAGAACGGCACUCUUGCGAGAGUGUGUGACGGUACUCGAGGAAUAAGCACCGGCUAACUCCGUGCCAGCAGCCGCGGUAAUACGGAGGGUGCAAGCGUUGUCCGGAUUUAUUGGGUUUAAAGGGUGCGUAGGUGGUUUUUUAAGUCUGGUUUGAAAGUUGGUCGCUUAACGAUCAAGGGUGGCUGGAUACUGGAAGACUUGAAUGUGGUGGAGGUAGCUGGAAUGGGUCGUGUAGCGGUGAAAUGCAUAGAGAUGACCCGGAACCCCAAUUGCGAAGGCAGGCUACUACGCCAUGAUUGACACUGAGGC
RNAcentral lists this ribosomal RNA (400 nucleotides) under uncultured bacterium. RNAcentral's name for it is "bacterial SSU rRNA". It matches the Rfam family "Bacterial small subunit ribosomal RNA", at positions 355 to 752 of the family's 1533-position model. The record is from RNAcentral.